UCUUCCGUAGUCUAGUGGUUAUGAGUAAGCACCUGUUUCACGCGCUAUCUGUAACAUAUACUUACAAAUCUUCAGUUUCCGCUUGUCACUGUACAUAUUCGCGGACGGCCCGGGUUCGAUUCCCGGCGGGAGAG
This is a non-coding RNA of Tothia fuscella, 134 nucleotides long. The record is from the annotation of a GenBank genome assembly. NCBI's taxonomy places the organism in Eukaryota, Fungi, Ascomycota, Dothideomycetes, Venturiales, Cylindrosympodiaceae.